This 430-nucleotide ribosomal RNA is filed under the name uncultured bacterium. RNAcentral's name for it is "partial 16S ribosomal RNA". It matches the Rfam family "Bacterial small subunit ribosomal RNA", at positions 338 to 795 of the family's 1533-position model. The record is from RNAcentral.
CCUACGGGGGGCAGCAAUUAGGAAUCUUGCACAAUGGGCGAAAGCCUGAUGCAGCGACGUCGCGUGGAGGAUGAAAUCUUUCGGGAUGUAAACUCCUUUUCUCAGGGAGACGGUACCUGAGGAAUAAGCCCCGGCUAACUACGUGCCAGCAGCCGCGGUAAUACGUAGGGGGCGAGCGUUGUCCGAAGUUACUGGGCGUAAAGAGCCGUAGGCGGACCCUUAAGUGAGGGGUGAAAGGUUCGGGCUCAACCCGGAGAGUGCCUUUCAUACUGGGGGUCUUGAGUGCGGGAGAGGCAAGUGGAAUGGUCGGUGUAGCGGUGAAAUGCGUAGAUAUCGAUCGGAACACCCGUGGCGAAGGCGGCUUGCUGGCUCGCACUGACGCUGGGCGCGAAAGCGUGGGGAGCAAACAGGAUUAGAUACCCUUGUAGUC